GAAAUCCGAAAUUUUGGUCUAGCACUUCCGGUCUCCGGAGAGAUGCUCGAUUCGUAUCAAACAAGUCGUAUAAGCCGAGAACUUUUCGCGGACUUUACAUCGAUACGAAUCAGGAAGAAAUCGCGACAGGAAAAACGAUAGCCGGUUAGUCACCGCACAAUCCUUAAACCGAAAGUAAACCUAGGUCUUGCCCUAAACCCAGCGCACUGGUCUCUAACAUCUCAAAGGCAUGAUAUCGAAAGAUAGGAGAUUCUUAAACCAUGCCUCUAUGUUUAUGUUCGACACCUUCAGCACCCCCGCAGAGUUCACAUCUCGCGGAAGAACUCUCGAAACAGAUCUCGAAUAAAACAUUUCACAAUCGAAGAAGGAUAUGAGACGACAACUCAUCACCUUCUCCCCACUAUUCACAAAUUCAAAAAAAAAAACGUUAUCCGAUUAUCGUACCAUAAAAAAGAAAGCCGCGGAGCGUCAGGGAUUCAAAGCCACACACGGCCAUCCCGAAAUACAAACAAGUCCAUUCAAGGCCGAAACAUAAAAACAUAAAAAAAAAUCUCUCGCAAGAGAUCUAACCCAAGUCACCCUCAGAACUUACGCCCCCUCUUCACCCGCUGCCUCGUCCGAGCCUGGAGCCGCGUCGCUUCCGUUCUCUCCGACCAUCAGGUCUUUCCCCUCUGGGUCUUCUGAACACGUCGGAAGGAAGCACGCGGAUUUCAGGUCGGCCAGGAUGAGACCGAAAUCUCCAUCCUUGGCCGCCAUAUCUCCCUUGCAGCCGGACAGUCGGGCCUCUUCGGCCUCCAAGGUCAGGGGAGUCUCACUUUGAGACGACCGAACUACGGCCAUCCCGCC
Molecule: long non-coding RNA, 846 nt
Filed under: Brassica rapa (field mustard)
Lineage: Eukaryota; Viridiplantae; Streptophyta; Magnoliopsida; Brassicales; Brassicaceae
Description: long non-coding RNA (BRAP_LNC003531)
Source: RNAcentral